RNAcentral lists this long non-coding RNA (1812 nucleotides) under Homo sapiens (human). RNAcentral describes it as "HSALNT0123003". Lineage: Eukaryota; Metazoa; Chordata; Mammalia; Primates; Hominidae. The record is from RNAcentral.
UCCUUCUUUGAGCUAAGCUGGAGGUGUCUGGUAGGCUGCAUGUCAUGAGUAGGAGGUUCCACUAUGUGUUCUUGCAGCACCAUAUACUUCUCUUUUGUAGCAUUACUAUUUAUAGCACUAUUAAAUUACUGUCUCCAUAAUAAAUCUGUGAGCCUUAUGAAGGCAGAGAAUGUACAGUUUGCUCACCACAGCUUCUUUAGUACCUAGACACACUCCACUGAAUUAAUGUGUGUAUGUAUGAAUGAAUGGUUUAGUAGUUCAAUGUCUUAUAUUUUAGAGACUAUGGUAUUCACAUAUGUACAUUUUCAAACCAGUAUCUUAAGUCCUGAAAUAGUCCCCACUUAUGCAGUCAUAUUUUAAUUAUUUGAUUACAACUCUAAAUACAUUUGAGUUAUAAUAACUCAAAUGCAGAUAUCUCAGAAUGCUAAUAAUUAUAUUAAAUUUUCUUAAAUAUCAGACCUUGUGAACUACUUAAUAAAUCGGGAACAUAUAAAUUCCAGGGUUAUUGGAUUGCUUUCAGACUACUUCAUUUAGGCUAACUUAUUCAGCAAACUAUUUUAUUUUGCACCUCCUUUACACUAAUAGAGAUUAACAUAUCUUUAUAUUUUAACUUCUGUUUGGCCCCUUGUGUCAAACAUGACACACUGCAAAAUACUGGUAUGAUCCACCAGAUUUGUCAAAGGAUAGUUGAUAGUGCUUUCAACUGAACACACCCUUUGUAACUUUUAAUAAAGUGUAAUAACAUUUUACAUGCAGUAAGGCACCAUAGCCAUUGAAAACACAAUAUUCUUCCUAGGAUCACUGAUAUAAUAACACAUCCCUUUUCAGUUACUAAGAUUUUUGUAAUCAUCUCUUACAUUCUCGGUUAGAUAAAAACUUAAAUGCUGUUUGCCGAAUAAAAAAUUAUAUAUUGUUGAUAUUUCUCCAAUACAAGGAAUAAUUUAAAAUUACCAAUCUUUUUUCAAAAAUAGCAAUGCAAGUGGGGAAGUAAAUGUGGCCCUGAAUACAGAAUAGGUGAAAUCAUGUCAUUACUUUUUUUCAUAAUCAAAUGGCCCUGAAAAAAAUAAACUAAACACUCUUCACUGGUUAAUAUGAUUAAAUGAAGAUAAAACAGAGACACGAACAUCAACAAAGUUCUCUCAUUUCCUCUGAACCGGCAACAAAUAAAUAAAACACAGAGGUACAAAUGCUCAUGGAUACUUUGUACAAGAAGUUAGAAGAAUAGUAGUGGCUGUUUUAAGUGUAAAAGAGGGAGGAGAGAAACACAGGGAAAGGGAAAGGGAAAGUAAGAGGGAAGAAGGAGGAGGGAGCUGAGGCGUCUCCCGAGUUAUGAGCAGCCCUCUCUACAUAUGAGCAUCCAGACACACCCACGCCCACCGGAAACACCAGCCAGCCAGUCACACGGCUAGGGAAAAAGCGGAAAUGAACGGCUUUUAUGGAGCUAUUACUUCCAGGAUGUAUAAUGCAUUGUGAAUAAGCUCAGCCUGCACAAGAGCAUCCCUGAUCAUGCAGAACUGAGUACAGAUCUCGAAGGGUGGAAGGACGGGGGUUAACCUCACAACUACCACAGCGCCUCUCCUCUCACAUCUCAUUUAGGAGUCUUUCUUCUCCAUAGUUGCUCCUUUCAGCUUCUUAGCCGCCAGUUCUGUCACCUUUCUCCCUCUGGAUUCAGGGAAAAGCCGUCAAAGCCUUCUAGACCCAUCUCUUUCAUUUCCUAUUCUUCCCUCGCCAACUCCAUGCAGAUUUUCUUCUUUCCAAAGAAAGGCAAUUUAAACUAUGUUUCCGUCUCCAGCUCUAAAUUUUGCAUUCUUC